GCGAGCGUAGUUCAACGGUAGAAUAGUGCUUCUUUUCUUGUCAAUUAGUAAUCACAUAAGCAGGUUCGACUCCUGCCGCUCGCA
Molecule: transfer RNA, 84 nt
Filed under: Lactiplantibacillus plantarum
Lineage: Bacteria; Bacillati; Bacillota; Bacilli; Lactobacillales; Lactobacillaceae
Also listed under: 1 other name
Description: Lactobacillus plantarum tRNA-Lys
Rfam family: tRNA
About the family: Transfer RNA (tRNA) molecules are approximately 80 nucleotides in length.
Source: RNAcentral